AACGUACGCUGGCGGCACGCCUAACACAUGCAAGUCGAACGCAGUAGCAAUACUGAGUGGCAGACGGGUGAGUAUAAUGUGGGAAUCUGCCUUUUGGUUUGGAAUAACACGGGGAAACUUGUGCUAAUACCGAAUAAGCCCUUACGGGGAAAGUUUUAACGCCGAAAGAUGAGCCUGCACUUGAUUAGCUAGUUGGUAAGGUAAAGGCUUACCAAGGCAACGAUCAAUAGCUGAUUUGAGAGGAUGAUCAGCCACAUUGGGACUGAGACACGGCCCAAACUCCUACGGGAGGCAGCAGUGGGGAAUCUUGCACAAUGGAGGAAACUCUGACGCAGCGAUGCCGCGUGAGUGAAGAAGGCCCUUGGGUUGUAAAGCUCUUUCGUCGGGGAAGAAAAUGACUGUACCCGAAUAAGAAGGUCCGGCUAACUUCGUG
This 433-nucleotide ribosomal RNA is filed under the name uncultured bacterium. Its description in RNAcentral is "bacterial SSU rRNA". It matches the Rfam family "Bacterial small subunit ribosomal RNA", at positions 29 to 507 of the family's 1533-position model. The record is from RNAcentral.